GUAGUCGUGGCCGAGAGGUUAAGGCGAUGAACUCGAAAUACAUUGGGGUCUCCCCGCGCAGGUUCAGACCCUGCUGACUACA
RNAcentral lists this transfer RNA (82 nucleotides) under Danio rerio (zebrafish). It matches the Rfam family "tRNA". From Rfam's summary of the family: Transfer RNA (tRNA) molecules are approximately 80 nucleotides in length. Their secondary structure includes four short double-helical elements and three loops (D, anti-codon, and T loops). Further hydrogen bonds mediate the characteristic L-shaped molecular structure. tRNAs have two regions of fundamental functional importance: the anti-codon, which is responsible for specific mRNA codon recognition, and the 3' end, to which the tRNAs corresponding amino acid is attached (by aminoacyl-tRNA synthetases). tRNAs cope with the degeneracy of the genetic code in two manners: having more than one tRNA (with a specific anti-codon) for a particular amino acid; and 'wobble' base-pairing, i.e. permitting non-standard base-pairing at the 3rd anti-codon position. The record is from Rfam by way of RNAcentral. Lineage: Eukaryota; Metazoa; Chordata; Actinopteri; Cypriniformes; Danionidae.